CAGUCGCCGCGGUAAUACGAAGGGUGCAAGCGUUAAUCGGAAUUACUGGGCGUAAAGCGUGCGUAGGCGGUGAGUUAAGUCCGUUGUGAAAGCCCUGGGCUCAACCUGGGAAUUGCAGUGGAUACUGGGUCACUAGAGUGUGGUAGAGGAUAGUGGAAUUUCCGGUGUAGCAGUGAAAUGCGUAGAGAUCGGAAGGAACAUCUGUGGCGAAGGCGACUAUCUGGGCCAACACUGACACUGAGGCACGAAAGCGUGGGGAGCAAACAGGAUUAGAUACCCGCGUAGUCCCUGUCUCUUAUAA
RNAcentral lists this ribosomal RNA (301 nucleotides) under uncultured bacterium. RNAcentral describes it as "partial 16S ribosomal RNA". It matches the Rfam family "Bacterial small subunit ribosomal RNA", at positions 509 to 809 of the family's 1533-position model. The record is from RNAcentral.